Molecule: long non-coding RNA, 17358 nt
Organism: Ictalurus punctatus (channel catfish)
Lineage: Eukaryota; Metazoa; Chordata; Actinopteri; Siluriformes; Ictaluridae
Source: Ensembl
CUGAGGAGAUUUGUGUUGUUUUCCCCCCUCAGCAGACACCUGGAGAGGGGUUCGGGUCCCGCAAAACCAGAAACGGAAACUUAAUCGGUUCUCUGUCACCGAAAAGACGGGAAUUAGUCACUUUUGUGUUUGUGAAGAACACACCACCGAGCAGCGACAGAAAAACCCCAACUCCCGGCUUUCACUCGUCUCUCGAGUAGUUUUUCUUUUAUAUGUGUGUAUAUCUUUGUACCGAGCAAAACACACGUUUUCAGACGUUUCCGCCAUUUUCAAAAGUGGACUUGUGUCACGGGUAGUGUUUCCACGUCGUCGGUUGUGUUCGUGGGGGAAAGUUAACGCGUUGUUAAACGGCGGUUUUAACGUCAGAACUCCGGGUUAGUUUGGAAGGAACCGCGCGUGAGGGAGUUCUGGAUUUUACCGGAUCUUAACGGAAUCUUGGAGAACUUUGGGCUACACAGACUUGUAGAGGAACGCACACACACACACACACACACACACACGGAGUCGACUUCAUAGCGUUUCUUUCUACUGAGGCAACAACAACAACAUUGUCAGGUUUUUUUUUUUUCACCUCACAGCAAAAUGAGCCGUUAUUUUGUCCGGCUUUACACGGACUAGCUAAGCUAACCUUCCCCCGCUUUAGUUGUUUAUUUUUUCCCCCCUUCUUUUUUCUUUCUCUCAGCUAAUUAUUUGUCUUCCUCAGCUGUGCCUCAGGGGUGACGAGGCCCCUCGGGGAGCUGCUUGCGGUGUCAAAUCUCUGCUCGUGCUAACGCAUAGCCGCGCGCGCGGGCACGGAGACGCGCGUGGUACGCGGCGCGUGAGCACUCUCCUGAAGAAGACGCGCUGUGAAAGAGAGAGAGAGAGAGGCGCGCGGCGGUAUCAGGAGCUGGAUACCUGUUAACUUUUCUGUCUGCGUGCGUGCGUGCGCGUGUGUGUAUGUGUGGUUGAGAGUGUGUGGCUCGUAGCCGCGGGAAGAGCUUCGUGGUCACUGUUCGGCAUUCCGUAAUGGACGCGAAAGCCUUCGGUCAAGUUUUUCACCGUCCUGUUCUUGCGGUAUCUUGCACAGGCUCGGAUACCGGACUGUAACCGAGUCGCAACCGGAAUAUCUCGGAGGCGAACAGCGUUCAUUUAUCGCCAAGCGGAUUUAUACAGGACAAGUACGAUGUCAUUUGCACGGGUCUGCUUGGGAGCUCUGCUGCUGUGGACGAUUGUUUCUGAUGGUUGACCCCGACGUGUGACCUCUGCACAGACCCGAUACCAGGUGAACCCUCGCCACCUUAUUGUGAAAAAUAGGAGGAAAAGGUGGUGUUAUUUUUUCCCCAACCUCACAUAUGGACAGACCUAAUUUUCUAAACGGCGUGAAUAUCUGUUAGCGCGAUACUAACUACAUCCCGACGGUAUCGAUUUAGAAGAAUCCUUAUAUUGAACACGAUGUUCCCUUUCAUGACUCCUAGCUUGGAGAUGUGUUUGUCGUUGCUUGCCGUAGCUGUACGUGUAAUCUCAACGUUUAAAAGAAUACAUUUGGAUAUUCGUCUGCUAAAUUACUCGGCGUUAUAACUGAAUAGAUAAAGCUUGUCCUUUACCAUAUUUCGAGUGACGGUAGUGAUGGUGCUAACGUUUGCUUGCGGUGAAACGGAGGUUAAUACUUGUUUAGCUACGUUAGCAAACUCAAAGCGACAGUAUUUACAGAUGAGACUGACCUGCACUUGAAGCCCCGAUUUCUGGUCGGUAAUUUUAUGACGUUUUCGCCGUUCUCUUUACGUGCCCUUUCCUUCUCUGUGCAGCGACGACUGUGUUCCGAACCGUUCGCCGGAGCUGAGGAGAAUGGUAGCGUUGCAAGUCGAGACUAACAGGUUCAUGAUGUAUCAUCGAUUUAUUAUCAAGUCAGAAAGGAUCUCUUGAACGCAUAGGACACGCAAUAAUAUAAAAAUAAAAGUAAAAUAAAUAAAAAAAAACGGCAAGGUAGCGGGCCAAAUACGUUGGCCAGUCCGGGCCUGUGUGGAGCCCAAGUAGGAGCUCGGAGUAAUAAAGCAAUGGCACUGGCAGCCUCUAGCUGGAGCAUUGUUCAUGCUGCUCCUGAUUUGCAGUUAAAGGUGUUUUUUAUUUUUUGGAAGGCUGGUUUCCUCAGUCAUGGUGUGACUGGAGACCCUAUACCCUAUCCAAACCACACGCACACACACAUACUGCAGGUGCUGGGGCUUAAUACCCUUUCUUCAGAAAGCUGUUUACAAGAAUUGCCAUUUGUAAGGGGCGGGGGGGGAUUUUCUAAUCACAAUCGUUCCAUUUGUGCCAAGGAUGAAUGUUCUUUUCUCAGGGCCUAAUGGCAUUAGAUGAACGUACUGUUCCAUCACUAAAAUGUCCUCCUUUUAAGUAUUAGAUUCAUCUCACGUCAUGCAAGAUAAACGGGCUCUCUGAAGGCAACUUGCCUGACCCGCCCGUCUACCCAUCAAGCCUUGGAGAGAGGCACAUCCCGAUGAUGUCUAUGGAUUACGGACGUCACGCAGAUUUUUAUUGAUUGAUUUAUUUAUUUUUACAUUUCAGUAUAGACUGGAGCUUUGAUGAAGACAAAAUGGCUGGCGCGGGAAAAACUCCUAUUCCGAGUCAUGUAACUCGUAUUUCCUGCUCUCGCUUGUGCUCUUAGAUGUGUACCCUUCAGCAGCGUAAGAUUAGCGUCUUGACAAAACAGAAGCUUUAUUAAUAAGCGAGUUGUCGUUAGCUGCAGGAAAACGACACGAGAAGAUGAGAGAUUUUUGUUCGUCAGCAAAAUAUCUUUGAGGCUAGUAAUUAAGGAGCUGUGAGAACUUACCGAAACGGGAACACAAAUGGAUUAGCCGGGGAGAAAAGUUUUCCUCACGGAGCUGAAGUAUCGUUAUCCUGCUUCAACCUCAAAGAGACACUUGCUUUUAACUCUGUGUUCGAAGAUAAUUGCGCAGUGAUAAAGAAGGCGAUAUUCUGUUUACAGCGCUAGUAGACUGCACAGACGUUGCCCAAUUAGACCGCUUUCUCGUGUCAAGGUCUCAGAAUUGUUCCGCAUGAUCACUGAAUGUUUUGCUUCCCUAUGAGAGUCACUACAGUGGCAUCCGUGGACAGUGGUCCGAUUCGAGUCCUUCCAGCAUGCUUCAACUGCUUAUGCGGGGCAAAAAUCUGUCCGCUAGCCCGCCGGGCAUGUGCGAUAUAACCGUCAGUACGUUUACACGGACGACGAUAAUCCGACAUUAACCCGAUUAAGACGAUACUCUGAUUAAGAACCCACCAUGUAAACGGCGAUUUUUGAUGACCUUAAUCUGAUCAAAGUCACACUCGGAGUAAACACAAACGGAAUUAAGACGUGUGGAGCGUUCAUGUUUUAGUCGCAUUGUCGACGUGCGUUACAGACACGUACACACCUUAAUCACGCUAUUAACGCCGUGUGAGAGUUUUCACCGCAUUUUGUGACAGGACACGUGCGCACACGGCAGCGCUCGACCGUCUGACGGCAAACAAGAGAGCACGGCCGCGUCCCAAUCCGCGUACUUACCUACUAUAUAGUAGGAGAAAUACAUGUAUGUCGGCUGCUAUAUAGACGGUAAGAACGCGGUUUGGGACGCAGCCCACGGCUUCAAGCAGUCGUCUAUCUGCACGUACAGCACGACUGAUAAUUAACCGCACCCAAAACUGUAUACGGUCCCAUAACGAAGACCAACUGUGAAAUUCCGGAGGGACGACGGACAGCGUGGACGUAACGGGGACGCGAUGACGUGUGACGUUAAUCGCUCUAUGUUCUAUAACAUGUAAAACGGGAACACGAGAGGAAUCUUCUAAACGUGACUCAUGUAAACGCCUUAAUCACAACACUGUCUUAUUCAGAAUAAGGUCCGUAAUUAGAUUACCGCUGUCCGUGUAAACGUAGUCCUUGUUAUAUCCAGUGACGUUUACUGCAGGUUAUAUUAGAUUACCAGACUCGCCAACCGUUAAGUAUUUUGAAGAGGAGUCCACGUGUAUGAGUGAUCACUCAAAAAUAUGCCAAGAGUAGUCUUUCCCUUUAUAGUAAUAUGAGAGAUGAGCCAACUGACAUGUAAAUCUGGAACGAUUUGCUCAGGUGCUAUGAACCUGUCAUGGUAAAUAGAGAAGAAUAAUUAACGUGAAGUAAAAUCUAUUGAUGUACGUUCAUCUUGGCUAACGUUAGACAAGUAUAUAUUUAGCGUCAAUUUACUAUAAUUAUUAGGGAUUUAAAACAUCUCGGCCAAAAAGCUCUUUCGGUUUCUCGUCGAAGGAGAAAAGAGGAUUUUUGACCCCAGAAAUUGAUUUGGGCUGACAAUGAAGUGUCAAAACUGUUAAAAUAUUAAUGGGGAUGAUAAUUAUAAUGUGUUUUUUGUUGUUGUUGUUUUGUUUUGACUGGCACUCAGUACUUGUUUUGCUCACUGCUGAGUAGCAUUAACGGAGAAAAUGUCGGCCGGGUGAACAUUAUACAACAGAGGUCUGGAAAGGAUUGCAUCGGAUUAAUUUUUUUAAAAUACCGAUUACUGUACAUCACUGCAGAACCACUUAAAAGAAUCCUCCGUGCAACUGUUUUCAAGGUUGCCAAAGUUCCCAACUGCACAGCUGACUAUGUUGUUAUCCUCCCCUCCUCUCUUUUAAAAGUGGAAUGGUGGAAAUGCCCCUCUUCCUCUCCUGGAUGAUUAAAAUGUUUAUUGCGAUAUGUUAAAAUGGAUAAUUGCAUCCGCGCAGUCCCAGGGUUGGGUUUCCCCAGACACCUAAUUGACUAGGCGAAGCACGCCAAACUAGUUAGGUAGUUGAGUGCACUAAUACAGCCUAGUCAGUCUGUCUAGUGCAAACCGAUGUGCGUAGUGCCUGUAAGGAUUUAGAAAGAGUAGCAUCGAGGUACAUCUCUCACGAGGGAAGAGUCCAAGCACAUGCAGAACUUCUUUAUUAAAGACAACACGGGGAACAGGCUCGAGAAAACAAACACGAGGAGUAGACACGCUAGGAACCGGGAUUAAUAAACUUAAUAAACUUGAAAUUAAACACUAAGAAAAAUAUAAAUAAAUAAAAAAACAGUGCAAAUAGCACAAGCAUAACAAGAUAUUAAAACCAGAACUCAAACAUAACCUGAUGAGAGGUAAUGCUCCAGCAACUAAGGAAGAAACGCAGGGAACUUCAAGAGCGCGCUAGCCAAUCGGGGAAAUGCGAAACACAGGAGUAAUGUUACAUAGGCGGAGUCGGAAAUCGCAUACCGUGACGGUACGUACUAUCCGGUAUGCGUGUGUAGUACGAAGACAAUCCCAGACAUACUACUUCCGCCAUGUUGGCAUUGUCAUGUGACCUUCGACGUCAUCAACAACACGUUAAAAUUCCACCAGAUUAAAGCAACCGCGCUAGGUGCAAAAUGCCCACCAGGAACGUUAACUGAAUUAGUCAUUUAAUGUGGGCGGGGUUAACAGGCUGAGGUUAAUUUGUUGCCGUUAGGCUGGCCAGCAAAGGCAUGAUUGAGAUCACAAAAAAAGGUUUCAAACGCUAUUUUCUUGUUUAAACCUUCGAGUUCACGUUUUAUUCGGGUAUUGUUAAACAAGUCCCGUUUCAGCAAGGUCGUCUUCCACGAUUGUGGUUGGUUUUUUUUUUUUGGUUUUUUUCCCCGGGCUCGUCCGCACCAUUCCCGUUGCAUUAUGGGAUUUUUGACUCGCGUGGUGUCCAUCAUUUGCAAGGAGCAAAAUCUCGCCGGAAGCAGUACGCCAUCCGGGUAUUUCUCACCUACAGUUUCUCGUCUGCUGAGAAUUCGGACAUACUACCUCUUCGGAGUACUGCUUUUUGCCUAGUGUAUAGUGUAGUAGGGUGGUAUGCGAUUUCGGCUGCAGCCACUGAAAAGGUGGGGGCAACAGAGGAAGAAGUUCUACAUGGGCAACCGUGGUGCCCUCUAGUGGUGUAAGGCGGAAUUGCCUCAGGGGGCCGUGACGGCAUCACAUCACAAGAACAUGUUGCUUCAGUGUACAUAUGGAAUUAGGUAGGUAGGGUUUUGUCGUUCUCUGGUUGUUGAAAUGUUGGUGACCACGAGUUUUCUGGGCCUACUUGUCCACGGUGCAACUUGUAAAUAAAAGAGCCUGGACAUGUCAUUGUCUUGUCUUGGGAGUCCGGGCUAGUGAUCUGUCCACUCCUGCAUUACCAGUCCUUCUACUCUGAAGGCUAACAUGCUGCUGAUUCCAUCUCGAUCUCGAAAAAUCACGAUUUUCACGUGCACUGUAGAAAAGCAUGUUCAUAACCCAAGUUAUCCUUGGCUUCUUAUUCUUACGUGAGUACCGUCUGCACUCCUGCUAUUCAAAUGAGUUGCCUCUGCUAAGCAGAAUUCAGGUUGAGUGUGAAUUAAGUCACAUUUGGGCCUCCUUUGUCGAUAUCCUCAGGAUGAAACGGUCCCUGUGGCAGUUGCGGUGGCCAGCAGAGCAGAAUGGACCACUGCGGCUUAAGCAGUCGACAUGAGUCAUUAGUCUUGUCUGUUGGGCUUCCCGACUGUUGCUUGGCUGCUUUUGAAAAAUCCUCCAGCUCGCGCUAGUGAUGAAUAGUGCAGGGCUUGGAGCUACUGAGUGCCAGGCCAGUUCAGACACCGUCUGACCGGAGGAGGAUGUAACCUCGUGCAAAGGAAACAGUAGUAGGUUGGAAGUAUUUUGUAAGCAAAGAAAACAUUUGCUCGACAUGCAGAUCACAGGUUUAGUGAUGCAAGAGGAGAGCUGUUUUUCUAUCAGGCUCUUACAUAUGCCAUUAGAAGGCUUGUAUUUCUGAGUUUUGCAGAACGAAGUGCGUUUUCCAAUGAAAGUGCACCCAUACCGUAUUGUCACUGAUAUUUACAUCAAUUAAGUUUCUUUUCUUUUCCCUUCAACUAUAGACUAGGGUUGCUGUUCCUUGCACUACUGAGAGAAACGGUAUGUUUGGUAAAAUCUUGGCUUGGAGACCUGCUCUUAUUGGUGGAAAAUAACACGGUUACCUUUCUUGAGCCUCUUUAAGUCGUUUUUUUUUUUUUUUUUGAUAGAUUCUGCCCAAACCCUUCACGUUAUUUUAGAAUGAACUAAGAAUUUUUAGGAACUUUAGAAACAAAGAGUGAUUAGUAUGAAGAACGUGUAAGAGACAGGACCGCCAUAUAUAGUUUUUCGUAAUAUCUCCAGUAAAAUUCGAUUUGCCGGCGUCGUAUUGUACCAAACCAACUUACUUCGGCUUGGGUUCAUUUAUAACUUCCAACUUCUUCGCCGCUCCAACUUGGAGUAGGUCCCUGUAAUAAUCCAUGCAGCAUUUCCAGUGGAAUAGCAGUGGUCCCUUGCUCACAGAGAGAUUUUCUAGCUGGACUCACUUCUACAGAGUCGAUGACUAUUUCAACCAAUAAUUGAAGUAUAAAGACUUUGGUUAAAGGUAUAGACCAAUCUGGCAGUCAGUAAAGAAGUUUGCUUGUUAUAUAUUACUUAUUAUAUUCCACAGAACAAGACUCGUGCCUCAUGUCCAGCUGGAAUUAAGUUACAGUUCCACCUUCUUUAAAAUUGUGUGUGAUGUGACUUCAUUCACAUGGUAAUGAUGAAGUGCAGGGAUUUACUCUCAGAAAUGAACCACGCUCGUCUUUGUGCCUGAAGAAUUUACCUUGAAAUCAAUAUUGUUCAAAUGACUGUCAGCAAAAUGAAGCACAGGGAUUUGCAUCUAAAGCUCUCCUCCAGCAUUUCAAGGUCCACACUGCGGCCUUUAAACUAAUUUGAGCCGAGGCACGUGGUGACUUUUAUGUUGUGUGUAUCGAAGAUGAUGAUUAUCAUCGUGUGCAGUGGUGAAAUUCUAUCGAGGAGAACUUGAGAACUCAAGCUGGCGUUCAACUCCGUAAUACAACAGUGGCCUAGGUAGUGUAUGUCACUUGUUUUUUUUUUUUUUGGUACAACGUGUUCUUGCUUCACAAGCUCUGCAGGUGUUUUCUAUCAAAACGCCAAGGCUCCGGAUGGGACUUUGUUUAUCCAAGUCCUGUUUGUGAGUACUGGUACGUAUAAAUGUUCUGUAUGCUCGUCAUUGCUUUUCACAGCACCUCAGAAAACUUGGCAAAGGAGGAAGCUUGUGAAGUAGGCAGAUCUGUCAGCAGACAAUACAACUUGUGAAUGUUCCUCUGACACAUUGACAUGCACACUGGCAAGCAGCCAAAAGCUGGCACGAAAUCAGCCCUACCAACCUUAAAUAUUCAAGGUAGUCAGUACGAAUCUAUUUUUAUAGAUCAUUCCCCAGACACAUUCCAUGAUUAGGCAAGACCAAUCUCCCAGGCAGUACGUUGAUGUAUCUGUAAACUUAUGACUUGUCUUGCAGCAGAACCGUCACAGCUGCUGUUCUAGAAAAUUAACCAACACCCUCUGACCGAUCAGAAUCGAGAGCUCAGUAGCAGCAUUUAUUCACCGUAACAUUAAAACCACCUGCCUGAUGUUGUGUAGGUCCUGCUUGUGCUGCCAAAAACAGCACUGACCUGUCAAGACCUCCUCCGAAGGUGUGCCGUGGUAUCUGGCACCGAGACGUUAGCAGCAGAUCCUUUAAGUCCUGUAAGUUGUGAAGUGGAGCCUCUGUGAAUCGGACUUGUUUGUCCGGCACGUCCCACAGAUACUCGAUUGGCUUGAGAUCUUGGGAAUUUGGAGGCCGAGUCAACACCUCGAACAUGUCAUGUUCCUGAAACCAUUCUUGACAAUUUUUGGCAGGGUGCAUUAUCCUGCUGAAAGAGGCCACUGACGUUAGGGAAUACCGUUGCCCAUGACGGGGCGUUCAUAAGUCUGCAACAAUGUUUAGGUGGGUGGUAUGUGUCAAAGUAACAUCCACUUGAAUGCCAGGACCCAAGUUUCCCAGCAAAACAUUGCCCCGGGCAUCACACUGCCUCCGUUAGCUUGCCUUCUCCCCAUAGUGCAUCCUGGUGCCAUCUCUUCCCCAGGUAAAAGACGCACAUGCACCCGGACAUCCACAUGAUGUAAAAAAAAACAAACAAACAUGAUCCAUCAGACCAGGCCACCUUUUUCCAUCGCUCCAUGGUCCAGUUCUGAUGAUCAUGUGCCAGUUGUACACACUUUUCACGGCGGACAGGUGUCAGAAUGAGCACUUUGACCAGUCUGCGCCUAGACAGUCCAAUACGCAGCAAGUCCCACUGCAGUGUGUGCUCUGACACCUUUCUAUCAUAGCCAGAAUUAACUUGUCAGUGCUAAUUUGUGCUACAGUAGCUCUUCUGUGGGAUCGGACCAGACAGGCUAGCCUUCGCGCUACCCUAUGUGCGUCAUUGAGGCUCGGGUGUACAUAACCCUGUCACUGGUUCACCAGUUGUCCAUCCUUGGACCACACUUUCUAGGUACUAACCAGUGCAUACUGGUAACACCCCGCACAAGACCUGCUGUUCUGGAGAUGCUGUGACCCACUCGUCUAGCCGUCAGAAUUCGGUCCAUAUUAAAGUUGCUCGGGUCCUUAUGCUCACCCCUUUUUUCCUGCUUCCAACUCAUCAGUUUUGAGAAUCGACUAUUCACUUAUUGCCUAAUAUAGCCCACACCUCGACAGGUGCAACCGUAAUGAGAUAAUCAACAUUAUUCACCUCACCUGUCAGUGGGUUUUGAUGUUAUGACUUACCGGUGUACAUGGUUUUGAUGUGUGCAUGUAUAGAUAUGGUCUAUUGACUUUAAAUUGCAUUUUAGAGACACCGUUCAUGUGUCUCGAGAGAGUAUGUUAAAGAUCUUGACGACGGUGUAUUAAAGAACUUGACAUUGUUGACUACAGAUAAUGGGAGCACAAACGUAACCAGCCAAUCGUAGGCCGUACCUCUUAAUGGGACCAUGGAUGAGGACGCACCUCGGUGGAAAAGGUUUUUCCAGGGAAGGACGGGGCCACAGCAUCAUGAGCCAUUUUUAUUGUUGAGUAAAGAUGCGGCAGUGCCGAGAUUGUGACACCUCCUCCAGCAGAAACGGAUUAACCCAAGACAAGCAUGUUGCCAGGGUGAGGGAUGAGGGGGCCACAUCUCUGAAAUAAGCACUAGCACUCCUGGGAAAUCAAAGUCGGGCAGCCAGUGCUGGGGCGCCACAUGCCUACAAGACGCAACCAUAGUAAAUCACACAUCAUAGUCUUUAUCUGGAAAAUAUUUCCCCCGAACUUGCCACCUAAAUCACUCUAUUUCUCCAAAUGUGGGCAAAUAUGCACUCUCUGUCAUGCUUGUUCUCCCUUGCUCUCUGUCUGCUGUGUGCUGUUUCCCUUUUACAAUUGGAUUAUUUUAGGGGGGUUUUCCACAGAAGUAUACUGUAUAUUUCUGUAGUCGUGGUGUUUUUAAAGUGAAAACUGCAUUUUUCUGGUUCCCCAUGAGAACCAUAGCUCCCUAUAGUAUUUGUGUUUUCACCUUCCAUAUCAUUGUUGGGGGCGAAACGGAAUAUAAACAUACGGACAAACCCCAAAACGACGACACAUGGGGAAACUGUUCUUUGACUGACUGUUCUUUUAACAUACUUAACAAGCAGACUGAUGUUCUCGGUCAUACUCUGUACAUGCCCUCUGACCUUUAGGAUUCCUAAACAGGCAGAUCUCUAUUCCUGUUCUAAAAUGUUCAUCAUUCCUGGAAAUUGACAUCUCGGAUAAACUUCUGUCAGCGUUUAGUUCGUCUAGAUCCAGGACGUUUACGCGUUCUUGCCUGUGGACCUUUCGUUCGCGUGGUACGUCCGUCCAUUUCACGCGUGUCCAGUUGGCCUGUUGACACGUAUUCGAUGCGACGCGUGGUCCUCGAAAGAGGCCGCGACCUUCCGACGUGCGUAGGGAGUUCUGGAAGACGUGAGGCUAAACAUAAUCAAAAGUGAUGUCUCCAGUCCAUUUCUCGUCAACGGGCUCCUUUUGGAAAGGCACAUUUCACCAAGAUGCACCUAAUGAUGUGGAAAAUGCGGCUGAAUUGAUCGAGUUCUCUUCAGUUUUACUCACUGCUACAGGAAAGUCUAUGUGUAUUGUGGGAAUGCAUCAAACAAAUGAUUGAUUUUUUAUUUUCUUUUCACCAUAAGGUGAUUUCAAUCAGGAUGCACGUUACAAGCAGACAGUGCACCACCAGUGUACUGGUAAUACACAUGCCCAGUCAACAAAGUGAUUAGUGAAGGUGUAAUCAUGUAGUCAGGUCUUGCUGCAGUGUAGCAUGUGUAUGUGCAGCUUGUCUUGACAACAAGCACGUUUGACCUCGAUGACCAUCGGAACCAUUAAAUAGUACUGGCAGUCACGUCCAUGACGCACAACAGGUUCGGGUCAAGCAGGAGUUAAUGGCACUGAACGCGUCAUCAGUCAGCAGACUCGAAAUAUAUAUGGGACUCGGAAUACAUAUCCUAUAAAACAGGAGGCCACAUUUAUAUUCGGGAUCUGUCUGUCGUAUAUGUAUUACCGCUGCUUAAAAUGCCGUCUUUUUGCCAAUGUCAAAGUGCAAGUUUUCUGGUGCGAAAUACCACCCACGUGUAUGUGUAUUAGGGGGCGUAAGUGAAUACGAAUACAUCAUUGAUGGAAUUUUUUUAAAAAACGGUAUGGACAGUAAGGGGUGUGCUUUUUAUGCCGGGUUCUUUCGAGGAGUUGCGAGGUUUUUACUUCAAUGUAAACCGUUUUAAAACGUCAUGUAAAUGGUCUACGUUUAUAUAGCGACUUUUAUAAAUCCUUAAGGGUUCUGCAAAGCGCUUUACACUUGUUUCUCAUUCUCACACACACACUCGGACCAGGCCCUAGCCUGCCAUUGGGAGCAACUUGGGGUUCAGUGUCUUGCCCUGAAUGUGGCAUGUGGAGACAUGUGGGCCAGACCUGUGUUUAGUAGACGAGCCGCGCUACCACCUGAGCCACUUCUGCCCCACAGUUUGUGGGGAGGUUCAGCUAAAAGACCUGAAACUAGCCCGGGAUGUUCUCAGCGUUUUCAUGGGAAACGAGAUAACAUUGGUGCGCGUUUCUGAUUUGCGGUAUGUAUCCGCAAUGCGCAGACUUUACACAUGGAACCUGGCACCUUGUUCACACAAUAAAGAUCUGUCAUUGUUAUAACCAUCAGAGAUUCACGAUUUGGUUUUUACUUAUUUAUUUAUUUAUUUAUUUAUUUAUUUAUUUAGGUAGUGAUUUGCUCCAGCAGCCCAACCGAAACGCUGCCUUCCUGAGCGCCAAAAUAAAACCAUAUUCCUACCAUAUUUCUGUACAAACAAUAGAAAUGCUUUUAUUUAUAGUGCCGUUGCUCCAUAUAGCUCACUCAGACGGUGCACUCUGCUCAGAGCGGCAUAUCUCUGCUGGCUCUCCAAAAAUAAUCAAUGAAAUAUCUGUGUACACAUCGCGUGUAUUUUUAAUUUAAUUAUCCUUAAAUGAUCAUUUUCCAUCAUUAAAAGAAUAUCUUCCUGGAAGAUUUUCCGCCCGGGGCGGCUGUGGCUCAGGUGGUAGAGCGGGUCGUCCACUAAUCGUAGGGUUGGCGGUUCGAUUCCCGGCCCACGUGACUCCACAUGCCGAAGAGUCCUUGGGCAAGACACUGAACCCCAAGUUGCUCCCGAUGGCAAGUUAGCACCUUGCAUGGCAGCUCUGCUACCAUUGGUGUGUGAGUGUCUUUGUGAAUGGGUGAAUGAGAACCAGUGUAAAGCUCUUUGGAUAAAAGCGCUUUAUAAUAUAUAUGUAUAUACUUUAUAUAUAUAUGCAGACCAUUUACCGUGGCCAGACAAGUGUAUCUUUGAUUCGUCUGUCCAGAGCACAUUAUUCCAAAAGGCCUGGUCUUUGCCUGUAUGCUCAUUGGCAAACUAAACGGUCUUACAAAGGCUUUUUCCUGGCACGCUUCCCAUGCAGGUCAAAUUUGUGCAAUCUUGUAGGGUUCUUGGAGACUUCUGUUUGCAUCAGACGGGUUGAAUUUGCUGGGACGGCCAGUCCUGGAGAAAUUGGCAGUCUUCUGAAAUCUGCGCCACUUGUAGAUGAUUAUCCUUACAGCGGAAUGAUGUAUUUCAAAUCAUUUGGAGAUCUUUUUAAAUCCCUUGCCAGACUCAUAGGCAUCCAUAACUUUAAAAAAAAAAAAAAAAAAUUUAUUUAUUUUUUUUAACAGAACUUUUUAGAUCUUGGCAUGAUGACACCACACACCUCAAUACUAAAAGGAACACCAGACACUAUGAGAGGGGUAUAAAUAAGACCGGUUCCGCCUGCACUCCCUAAGCAGGUUCUAAUCACUGGCACUCAAUCUUAAUAUUACGGAUUUGAAGGCGUGAUAAAUGUAGGGGUGUACUUACUUUUUUCCAUGUGACCGGUCUGUUUUUUUGUUCAUUUAAACUGUGAAAAUUUUAUGUGUCAUUUGAUAGUGUAUCAUCUUUAUUAAUAGGCGCGGUUUCAAAGAGGAUCAAAUGUUUGCUUGUCCAAAUAUGUCAAAAAAACCCCCAGCAAUUUCCAUUUGUUCGCAUGACUGCAAUUAUCUAAUCACAUUGUAGCACAGGUCCACAUUCUCCAUGCUUGGGUGAUUUUUAAUUUUUCCCCCGCGCUUGGCCAAGACUCGUUGGCCCUUUCGUUCCAUUGUCGUAUUUCUGAUGAAUGAAAGUGUCGUGAAAAACGAAAGAGACCGAGUUUUUGCAAGCGUGCUUUUACACCCCGCAGCCGACAUUUUGGUUUGUUUAAUCAUGAGCCGUAUUAAACCACAUUAAAUGGCUAACACACCAAAGGUAUCUGAUUUGGACUCGGCAAAACGAGAUAAUGAGCAUGAAAGCACGUUCGUGGACAUGAAGUUGAUCGAAUGUCCGUCGUUAAAACUGAUCUAGCUUAAAUAAAACACUGAAAGCCUGAGUCAACUCUUUAGUCCACAGGUUUGGCUGGAAAAAUUCCAUAUUCGUGAGGUAAAGCAUUUCCUCGCCAUAGACAAGAUUCUGCUACGACGGUCAGUCGACGUAAGAAGAAAUGCAAGCCGCUCUCCCUAACAAACUUUCCACAUCUCUUGCCCGGUCUAUGUACGAAUCUCAGCCACGCGGCAUAUUGCUUUCCAGCUGCCGUCUGAACUUAGGAAGUUGGGUGGCACCGUGUCCCUGAGACAAGGGAAAUUAGUCACCCCUUAUCUUCCUCGAGCAGCCGUAUUCUCCCUGUAAUGUCAUCUCGGCUGGCGUGCGUUUUAAAGAUGGGGUGCGUGGUGCGAGACUCUCCGUUGUGAGGAUUUGCUCAUAUUUCCAUGUCGGGGCGAAUAGAACUUCUCGGAAGUAAUGGAAUCAAAUGCAAAUCGGUUGUUCUGGAUGGGGAAAUACCUCACCAGUAUACACAACGUGUAUAGCAAAAGUUUUUUUUUUUAUUACAGGGCGAUCUCAAGUAACCUUCGAGCAAGAUCGGAAUCCAGCGGUUUUAUUUCACCAAUGUUGUUACGUAAGGAUUAAGAGAACAAACCAUUUCGAAUGUACAGAGCACAUAAGGAGCGCUGCAUCCUUUUAAUGCGUUUUUAAUGUUUCCAUAAAUGAACUUCGGCGUACUGGCGGAAUCCAGAAGAGCAAAGAAACCGUCAGCUUGACGCUAAAUAUCCGAUGCACCACAUGGAAGUGAACUACUCCUAGCGGCAUGUUUAUUUAAACGGAAAAGAACAUUACGAGCAUAAACUUAAUCUGCCUUGCACCAUCGCAGCCAUAUGCCGCCAUGUAUUCUAUUUCCGUACAAGCUCUAGCACACCUACAACCAAUCCGCUCUGCCAGAACGUUCACCGCAGUAGGUCUUUAGUCAUCAGUCCCAAAUUAGUACCUUAAAUAAAAUAAAAGACCUUUCCUAAUCAAGCAUUUACCACCCUCAGCCUGGAAUACAGAUUUAGCAUGAUGGUGUAAAGGGGUAACACUGGCAUUUUGCUGUAGGUGUUGUCUAUCCACAGCAACGUUGUGCUGUUUGAAGACUAAAAAGAAUACCCCCAUGAGGUGUCGAGACAUAGUUACCUUUCUCUCUGAGCAAAUAAGCAGUAUCUCCAUCUAAUAAACUCACUGUGCCUGGGGGUAUUCCUUCAGUGGUCACCUGACUGACAUGAAAACAGAACUUCAUCAUGUGAUCUUUUAUGUCCUCAGAAUUAAGCAGUAUUCACAUCUUUUCAAACCUUUUUUCGGUCCAAAGUGUAGAUCCCCUACCAGAAUCCGUUCCCUCCCGAUCUGGGUCAGCCACUCUUCUAUUGUGACCCCGGCCACAUAUCCGUGUUUGACAGCAGCGAUACAGUCCAGCUGGCUCACCGACUGAAGAUCGACCUGAGCCUGGGGUCUUCAGAGCGGACCGGCUCUGUAGCAGGAAGUUCAAGUAUUAUGUCGCUCGCACGGUGACCUCGUCAGUAAGGCACCGCUGCAUGAGGGUCUGGCUGCGUUCUGUACAGUAUAUUGAUGGUAUGAAGUGGGAUUCCUAAUCAAAAGCUAGUCGGUUCUCACUUGGCAACUCCGGUUCAACGUUAUGCACGGUCCCGAUUCUUCGUAUCUGACUUAUUCCUCAGAAGUGCUUCUCCGAGCUGCCCAGAACAACCUUUUGUAAGCCCUGAACGUUCAUGACUUUUCAAAAACAGUGGGAAGAUUUUAGCUGUCCAUCAAAUAAGUGGGCAGGAAGGUAAAGAUUAUGGAUUAAUGGAAGAUAGCCCAAGUUUUAUUGCUGUCUGUUUAAAAAUAAAAUGGUGGCUCUGACUUAAUAGCCAUCAGUACAUACUACACGUGUUUUUCUUUGGGGCUUUCAGGGCUUGUUUGAAGCUAAAUAUUUGUAUGAUCUAAUAAGAGUCGCUGCUAUAACAAUUAGAGCCAAGUUGUUUAUUUCUGCCAAUCCCCACCCACCAGCCAGCUCUCCUCUACCAACUACCAGCCAGGGAAGGUGAAGGCCAGUGCAUGCUUCCGCCGAGACACACGAAGUCUAUAUUUCUCGAGCCGAUACUCAUGCUUCGUCAUGGUUUCCUUGGAGGAAAGCACCGUCCUCCCUCCUCCGUAUACAUCUCAGACAUACUCACAGAUGCCCAUGAUUGGUUAAUGUUACUACGGUUGACAAGGGAGAGCGAAUAUGCCAUCUAUCCCACCCAGAAACCAUGGCCAGCUAUGCUCCCUUUGGCUCCCGGUCCCGCAUGGCUGUGUGCCUGAUUUCCUAAUGACAGGGUGAAUACUUCUCUAUGACCCUCCCUACAAGGUGUUUUACCAAACAGUCCCUAAUAACAAACAGUUGUCAUGUUGAAGAAAAAAAAAGCGUUUCCCGUCAACUGUAACGAAAGUAGCAAUGACCAACAAUACGCCAUCCUUUCUCUCUUUUUUCCCUUUCUUUUUAAUAGUGGCCUAGAUUGUUUUUGAACAUAGUGUAGACUAAAUUUUAAGAGACAGAAACUGGCCAGUGAUAAAUGCUGCAUUAAUUAAGCAAAAAUGACUGAAUAAGGGAAAAAUGACUGACUGUCACAAAUCACUGACACUGGACACUCCUUCCAUAAUAAACGCUCUUACAGAAAGCUUCACUCUGUCAAUGACUGAUUCCCAGCUGUGCAUCCACACCUUGCUAUCGGCUAACACGUUUGCAUGCUGAAAUUUGGAGGCCGGCUUUCGAAAACGUUGCUCCCCGCCCCAUCCGUACUGUACCACUGCAUGAAUCGGGUUUAAUCUGAUGAGCCGGCAACUAUUUGAAAGUGGCCUGUCCUGAUUCACGAGCAGUCCAACUAACAAGAGGUAAAGCAGAUGAGAGUUUCAUGAUCAAACAAAGCAGACAGUUUAAUAAGCGGUUUUUUAAUCGUGCUAGACGCUCGACUCAGCGUUGUGGAGCAGUACCAAAGAGUUGCAUAAAUGCUUCGGGGAAGAAGUACAAAAGAAUUCAGGCUCCAUUUUCACAGCAGACUAUCUUCAUAUCAGUAAAGAUAAUAAUGGCUUACUGCCUCAUUAGCAGCAAGUGUAAUUGCUGAUGUAUUAUAUGCUGUCUUGUGUGUAGAUAUUGUGUGUCUGUUUACAAAGCACUUGCAGUUUUAUUUAGCAAAAUGUAUUUGUCGUUUGUCUUGGGAUGUACUUAAAUUUGAUACAAGAUUUGCUUGACUAAGCAUUUUUAUGCAUAUAUGUAUAAUAAUAAUAAUUAUAUAUAUAUAUACAUAUAUAAGAAACGUCCUCUCACGUUCGACUGCCUUUACUUCCAGCAAAUUUCUUAACGUGUGUAAAUAUUUGUAUUAGCAUAAUUAAAAAAAACAUUGAAGUACCGAGACACAACCUGAACAAGUUUCACAGCCGCGUGACGAACGGAAACGGACGAAUGAGUCCCUGAACAAAGUAGGGGUCAAGAUCAAAAGGAACGGUCAGUAUCUAUUGUGGAUAAAAUGUCCAAUAAAAUCAAAAACUGUCAGACACGGUGUCCGGCAGAAAUAUGUCCACGAAGCAGACGUUAGACGAAGGGCAUUCGCAAUUGCACACCUUAAUAAGGACUCUGCGCAAAAUGAGCUUUUUCACGUUUCUCUACCUUUUU